RNAcentral lists this ribosomal RNA (468 nucleotides) under uncultured bacterium. Its description in RNAcentral is "partial 16S ribosomal RNA". It matches the Rfam family "Bacterial small subunit ribosomal RNA", at positions 28 to 507 of the family's 1533-position model. The record is from RNAcentral.
GACGAACGCUGGCGGCGUGCUUAACACAUGCAAGUCGAACGGAAAGGCCCUGCUUUUGUGGGGUGCUCGAGUGGCGAACGGGUGAGUAACACGUGAGUAACCUGCCCUUGACUUUGGGAUAACUUCAGGAAACUGGGGCUAAUACCGGAUAGGAGCUCCUGCUGCAUGGUGGGGGUUGGAAAGUUUCGGCGGUUGGGGAUGGACUCGCGGCUUAUCAGCUUGUUGGUGGGGUAGUGGCUUACCAAGGGUUUGACGGGUAGCCGGCCUGAGAGGGUGACCGGGCACCAUGGGACUGAGAUACGGCCCAGACUCCUACGGGAGGCAGCAGGGGGGAAUAUUGCACAAUGGGGGGGAGCCUGAUGCAGCAACCCCGCGUUCGGGAUGACGGCCUUCGGGUUGUAAACCGCUUUCGCCUGUGACGAAGCGUGAGUGACGGUAAUGGGUAAAGAAGCACCGGCUAACUACGUG